GCCACCUCCUUGCUCACCGAGAGCACUUGGCUAGUGAGAUUUCAAUCUUUGCAAACUUUGUUCCUUUUUUCUUCUGAGCACUAACUAGAACAACUUCAGAAAGUGUUUGAGUUUGUAUGUCACUAUGUUCUGAAGAUAACGACCAGCUUUGUCAUCCGAUAGCCCAAGUUUUUCUUAUGGUGAAGUGAUCUUCCAUUGCAGCAAAUGGAUGCUCCAACUACGUAAUAAAUCAGUGAAACCCGGUAGGUGUACUACAUGCAAGCUUUCGGAAAUUAAGUUUCAAGGUCAUGCUACAAAUAUUGCUAGAGAACUUCUUUCUGUCUAUUUUUCUGCACAUGUAGACUGAAAGUGAAGUAACGCUUCUAGAGUUUAAUAGUUUUAACUAGUGAAUGUGUUAGUUUUAUGAAAAUAGAUAUAUGGGGUUUGAUCUGGAAUUUUCUUCUGUAAUUUUCUAUUGCCAGUUUGCCGCUGCUCCCAUUCAUGUGAUUCAGGAAUUUAAUUAUCAGUAGUUGUCUAUCAUAGUAGAAAUCCCUUCAAGUGUUGCAACCUUUAUUAUUGAAUUGAAAAACAUUUGCCUGAUAAUUUAAUUUUCUAGAGUAAAAUGAGAGCAAUUGGGUUGUGUACUGUCGCCCCUACUGGAAAUUGCAUGGCAUCAUGACUUAUUGAAUUACCAGAUCCCCUGUUCUUAAAACUGUUUUUAUUUAGCUUAACGCUUAAGAACAAAUUCAACCAAAGCUAUGUUCACGGAGAUGGUAAAUAUCUUAAGAUGUGCCUGUGGUUCAGAUUUUAGAAAAUACCUACUCGCAGUGUCACAUGCAAGUAAUAUGACCUUGGUAGUACAGUACCUUGUCAUGCAGGGCCACAAGUAAUAUAAGACUAUUGUUUUGUUGCUGAUAAUUAGAACGUUUGGAUGCUCGUUGUUUAGGUUCUGCGUCUAGUUUGGUAGUAGUGCUGGUGUGUGUGGCUUAGUUACUGAUGUUUUGAGGUACCCCUGGAGGGGGAUGAACUUGAGAUAUGUGAUGUUUUGAGUAAUGGAAAUUGGGAGAUAUGCUCCUAAGUAUAUUUUUAAAAAAAGAAUCAGGUCAUGGGGCUAGCUGACUACCAUGCUCUUUUCUCCUAUAUGUAAUUCUUACAAACUAUUCCCUAAUUUUCAUUUGAUGCUUUCACUGAAAUAAUAUUUUGGAUUGUUUGUUUUGUGAUCGGUGUGCAUCUUGUUUGUCCUCUCCACCAAGCAGUGUCGACUACUCAAUACAAGCACAUAAGCUUAUGCCCUUAUGAAGUUAUGAUUAUAUAUUUACCAAAGACUAUUAUGGUUAAUAGCUUUAAAGUCUUUGCUUCUAUAUGCAGCUGAGAAUGACUUAUAAGUUCAUGGCAAAAGCAGCAACAUCAGUACGUAACCACAAGCAAGCUAAGGGGGUAAUAAUCUUGGUAUUUAAGUCUUAGAUUCAGUAUUUUGCUUUUUGGAUACAUGAACAUUGAAACUUAUUUAGCAUUUCGUUUCUUAUAUGCUUCAUGCAAAUAAAACUGCAGUAAAAUAUGAGCCGAGAUUUUGCUUGGCAUGUGUAUGUAUGCAUGCCCUGAAUUUGCUUAGUAUUUUUAUGCAUACAACUAUUGGAAGCUUUUACAUGUCCUGGAACUGAGCUUUUGCAUGCCCUGUGUUUUCUGAAGCUGAGUCUUUUGUUAUUGGCUAGUACUUGAAACGGAGUCGCAGGCCUCCUACCAUAUAACCAUUUAUGAAGUGCAUAUGUGAUGCCUUAUCUUGUAUUCCUACAAAGAGUCCAGUAUAUUUUUCAUGUGUAAAAAGUGGCUGACCUGGCAUUACACUGUUAAGUAUUUUGUACACAUCAGGAAUCUUGUUGUAGAUACACACUGAGCUGAAAAUGUUGCUAGCAGAAAUAGGUUUUCUGUUAGCUACGCAUCUGGUUUAAAACAUGGUAUGACUACUUGCUUUGGAAUAGUAACACCUUGAUAUUAUCUGAUCCUAUCUCAUGCAUAUUUUAGUUAUUUCUAGACAAAGCUUUAGGAACCGAGUUCACUACAACUCGAAGUCUUGUGCAUGGAGGAGAAUUGAGAUAUUUGCGCAUUCUGUACUAGUCAAAAGGUAUGUGUAGAUAUUCUGCUCAUUCUAGUUCAUGCUGCUACUUUAUUAAGGUCUUCUUUUAUGAGCCUCUACCUUGUGCAAAUAAUAUGAUUACUUAGCAGCCUGGUUUCAUAGCUUUGAAUCUCAUGUGAAUAAACUAUAUGUCUAGGUGUUUGCUGUUCUUUGCUUAACUAGAUAUGGAAGUAUAGACAACAAGCUCAUGUACAAGAUGGAAAUUAUGAUGGUUAUUUAGUUUAUUUCAUUGGUUCUCAGCAUAUUAAUUGAUUGUAACGUUCUAGCUUUAUUUAAUAAGAAGAUGUAAAAGAAACAACAAGUAAUCUCCAUUUUUUGUUCUAUAAUAUAGAUAGUUUACCAAGCUUCUUAACUUAUAGCAGAUCUACCAUCUUCUCCUUUCAGGUUGGCAUCAUGGUUGGAAGAUCUUGUGUGCUACUCUCUACACGAUAUUUCUUCUACAUGAUAGCACUUGACGUCUACAUGAUAGCACUUGAAGUCUACAUGAUGUUUCUUGUAUUCAUAGCUCAAACCAUUUGUUUAGCUUAGUUUGAACAAAAAAUAUUAUUGUCUUACAUGUAAAUAAUGUUUACUAAUGUAGCUGGAUGCUACUGAACGCAUGUACGAAAGUCAAAAUACUAAGUGUUAGUCAUUAUGUGUUUGAGAACUGCCAUUGAAUCUUGAGUGAAUUCCUGUAUGAAUAGAAAUCAAAAGAAAUAUAAAUGCUACCAAAUUCC
RNAcentral lists this long non-coding RNA (2829 nucleotides) under Triticum aestivum (bread wheat). RNAcentral's name for it is "long non-coding RNA (TAES_LNC001430)". The record is from RNAcentral. Lineage: Eukaryota; Viridiplantae; Streptophyta; Magnoliopsida; Poales; Poaceae.